Molecule: non-coding RNA, 28 nt
Filed under: Homo sapiens (human)
Lineage: Eukaryota; Metazoa; Chordata; Mammalia; Primates; Hominidae
Source: RNAcentral
UGUGCAAAGGAGAGUGAUUUUCUCAUUU